Molecule: non-coding RNA, 72 nt
Organism: Gymnothorax javanicus (giant moray)
Lineage: Eukaryota; Metazoa; Chordata; Actinopteri; Anguilliformes; Muraenidae
Source: the annotation of a GenBank genome assembly
GGCGCUUUGGCGAUGUGGUCAGCGUGUUUAACUCUUACUGGGGAGUCUGGGGUUCGAUUCCCCGCCCGGCUA